AAAGAAAGUAAAUAAGGGCGUAUGGCGGAUGCCUAGGCUCAUGGAGGCGAUGAAGGACGUGAUAAGCUGCGUUAAGCCUUGGGUAGGUGCAAAUAACCUUUGAUCCAAGGAUUUCCGAAUGGGACAACCCAACUAUCAUCAGAUAGUUAUUACUGUUAAUCAGUAAGGCAAACGGAGGGAACUGAAACAUCUUAGUACCUCUAGGAGAAGAAAAUAAUUAAAUGAUUCCCUUAGUAGUGGCGAGCGAACGGGGAAAAGCCCAAACCACGUUUGUAGCAAUGCAAUCGUGGGGUAGUAGGAGCAUAAUAUAUUGUACUUUGAUUGUGAAUAGAAUGAACUGGAACGUUCAGCCAUAGCGGGUGAAAGCCCCUUAUAUGAAGCAAGAGAAGACAUAGUGUCAUCCUGAGUAACGCGGAGCACGAGAAAUUCUGCGCGAAUCAGCCGGGCCCAUCCGGUAAGGCUAAAUACUCCCAUGAGACCGAUAGUGAACCAGUACCGUGAGGGAAAGGUGAAAAGAACCUCGAUGAGAGGAGUGCAAUAGAUCCUGAAACCAUACGCCUACAAGCGGUCGGAGCUGCUUUAUGCAGUGACGGCGUGCCUUUUGCAUAAUGAACCUACGAGUUACCGUCACCGGCAAGGUUAAGGAUAUUGAUAUCCGUCAACCGUAGUGAAAGCGAGCCUGAACAGGGCGAGGUUGUCUCCCUUUGUGGAGACAAAGCGCACUUUGUGCGUUUUAGUCGGUGGAGGUAGACGCGAAACCAAGUGAUCUACACAUGUCCAGGUUGAAGUCUCGGUAACACGAGAUG
Molecule: ribosomal RNA, 806 nt
Filed under: Hoylesella timonensis
Lineage: Bacteria; Pseudomonadati; Bacteroidota; Bacteroidia; Bacteroidales; Prevotellaceae
Description: bacterial LSU rRNA
Rfam family: Bacterial large subunit ribosomal RNA
Source: RNAcentral